CAGCCGCCACGGUAAUACGGAGGGUGCAAGCGUUAUCCGGAUUUAUUGGGUUUAAAGGGUCCGUAGGCGGACUUAUAAGUCAGUGGUGAAAGCCUGUCGCUUAACGAUAGAACUGCCAUUGAUACUGUAAGUCUUGAGUAUAUUUGAGGUAGCUGGAAUAAGUAGUGUAGCGGUGAAAUGCAUAGAUAUUACUUAGAACACCAAUUGCGAAGGCAGGUUACCAAGAUAUAACUGACGCUGAGGGACGAAAGCGUGGGUAGCGAACAGGAUUAGAUACCCGGGUAGUCCCUGUCUCUUAUAC
Molecule: ribosomal RNA, 301 nt
Filed under: uncultured bacterium
Lineage: Bacteria
Description: partial 16S ribosomal RNA
Rfam family: Bacterial small subunit ribosomal RNA
Source: RNAcentral